RNAcentral lists this ribosomal RNA (2921 nucleotides) under Staphylococcus aureus. Its description in RNAcentral is "bacterial LSU rRNA". It matches the Rfam family "Bacterial large subunit ribosomal RNA". Lineage: Bacteria; Bacillati; Bacillota; Bacilli; Caryophanales; Staphylococcaceae. The record is from RNAcentral. RNAcentral also lists the same sequence under 88 other names.
UUAAGUUAUUAAGGGCGCACGGUGGAUGCCUUGGCACUAGAAGCCGAUGAAGGACGUUACUAACGACGAUAUGCUUUGGGGAGCUGUAAGUAAGCUUUGAUCCAGAGAUUUCCGAAUGGGGAAACCCAGCAUGAGUUAUGUCAUGUUAUCGAUAUGUGAAUACAUAGCAUAUCAGAAGGCACACCCGGAGAACUGAAACAUCUUAGUACCCGGAGGAAGAGAAAGAAAAUUCGAUUCCCUUAGUAGCGGCGAGCGAAACGGGAAGAGCCCAAACCAAAAAGCUUGCUUGUUGGGGUUGUAGGACACUCUAUACGGAGUUACAAAGGACGACAUUAGACGAAUCAUCUGGAAAGAUGAAUCAAAGAAGGUAAUAAUCCUGUAGUCGAAAAUGUUGUCUCUCUUGAGUGGAUCCUGAGUACGACGGAGCACGUGAAAUUCCGUCGGAAUCUGGGAGGACCAUCUCCUAAGGCUAAAUACUCUCUAGUGACCGAUAGUGAACCAGUACCGUGAGGGAAAGGUGAAAAGCACCCCGGAAGGAGAGUGAAAUAGAACCUGAAACCGUGUGCUUACAAGUAGUCAGAGCCCGUUAAUGGGUGAUGGCGUGCCUUUUGUAGAAUGAACCGGCGAGUUACGAUUUGAUGCAAGGUUAAGCAGUAAAUGUGGAGCCGUAGCGAAAGCGAGUCUGAAUAGGGCGUUUAGUAUUUGGUCGUAGACCCGAAACCAGGUGAUCUACCCUUGGUCAGGUUGAAGUUCAGGUAACACUGAAUGGAGGACCGAACCGACUUACGUUGAAAAGUGAGCGGAUGAACUGAGGGUAGCGGAGAAAUUCCAAUCGAACCUGGAGAUAGCUGGUUCUCUCCGAAAUAGCUUUAGGGCUAGCCUCAAGUGAUGAUUAUUGGAGGUAGAGCACUGUUUGGACGAGGGGCCCCUCUCGGGUUACCGAAUUCAGACAAACUCCGAAUGCCAAUUAAUUUAACUUGGGAGUCAGAACAUGGGUGAUAAGGUCCGUGUUCGAAAGGGAAACAGCCCAGACCACCAGCUAAGGUCCCAAAAUAUAUGUUAAGUGGAAAAGGAUGUGGCGUUGCCCAGACAACUAGGAUGUUGGCUUAGAAGCAGCCAUCAUUUAAAGAGUGCGUAAUAGCUCACUAGUCGAGUGACACUGCGCCGAAAAUGUACCGGGGCUAAACAUAUUACCGAAGCUGUGGAUUGUCCUUUGGACAAUGGUAGGAGAGCGUUCUAAGGGCGUUGAAGCAUGAUCGUAAGGACAUGUGGAGCGCUUAGAAGUGAGAAUGCCGGUGUGAGUAGCGAAAGACGGGUGAGAAUCCCGUCCACCGAUUGACUAAGGUUUCCAGAGGAAGGCUCGUCCGCUCUGGGUUAGUCGGGUCCUAAGCUGAGGCCGACAGGCGUAGGCGAUGGAUAACAGGUUGAUAUUCCUGUACCACCUAUAAUCGUUUUAAUCGAUGGGGGGACGCAGUAGGAUAGGCGAAGCGUGCGAUUGGAUUGCACGUCUAAGCAGUAAGGCUGAGUAUUAGGCAAAUCCGGUACUCGUUAAGGCUGAGCUGUGAUGGGGAGAAGACAUUGAGUCUUCGAGUCGUUGAUUUCACACUGCCGAGAAAAGCCUCUAGAUAGAAAAUAGGUGCCCGUACCGCAAACCGACACAGGUAGUCAAGAUGAGAAUUCUAAGGUGAGCGAGCGAACUCUCGUUAAGGAACUCGGCAAAAUGACCCCGUAACUUCGGGAGAAGGGGUGCUCUUUAGGGUUAACGCCCAGAAGAGCCGCAGUGAAUAGGCCCAAGCGACUGUUUAUCAAAAACACAGGUCUCUGCUAAACCGUAAGGUGAUGUAUAGGGGCUGACGCCUGCCCGGUGCUGGAAGGUUAAGAGGAGUGGUUAGCUUCUGCGAAGCUACGAAUCGAAGCCCCAGUAAACGGCGGCCGUAACUAUAACGGUCCUAAGGUAGCGAAAUUCCUUGUCGGGUAAGUUCCGACCCGCACGAAAGGCGUAACGAUUUGGGCACUGUCUCAACGAGAGACUCGGUGAAAUCAUAGUACCUGUGAAGAUGCAGGUUACCCGCGACAGGACGGAAAGACCCCGUGGAGCUUUACUGUAGCCUGAUAUUGAAAUUCGGCACAGCUUGUACAGGAUAGGUAGGAGCCUUUGAAACGUGAGCGCUAGCUUACGUGGAGGCGCUGGUGGGAUACUACCCUAGCUGUGUUGGCUUUCUAACCCGCACCACUUAUCGUGGUGGGAGACAGUGUCAAGCGGGCAGUUUGACUGGGGCGGUCGCCUCCUAAAAGGUAACGGAGGCGCUCAAAGGUUCCCUCAGAAUGGUUGGAAAUCAUUCAUAGAGUGUAAAGGCAUAAGGGAGCUUGACUGCGAGACCUACAAGUCGAGCAGGGUCGAAAGACGGACUUAGUGAUCCGGUGGUUCCGCAUGGAAGGGCCAUCGCUCAACGGAUAAAAGCUACCCCGGGGAUAACAGGCUUAUCUCCCCCAAGAGUUCACAUCGACGGGGAGGUUUGGCACCUCGAUGUCGGCUCAUCGCAUCCUGGGGCUGUAGUCGGUCCCAAGGGUUGGGCUGUUCGCCCAUUAAAGCGGUACGCGAGCUGGGUUCAGAACGUCGUGAGACAGUUCGGUCCCUAUCCGUCGUGGGCGUAGGAAAUUUGAGAGGAGCUGUCCUUAGUACGAGAGGACCGGGAUGGACAUACCUCUGGUGUACCAGUUGUCGUGCCAACGGCAUAGCUGGGUAGCUAUGUGUGGACGGGAUAAGUGCUGAAAGCAUCUAAGCAUGAAGCCCCCCUCAAGAUGAGAUUUCCCAACUUCGGUUAUAAGAUCCCUCAAAGAUGAUGAGGUUAAUAGGUUCGAGGUGGAAGCAUGGUGACAUGUGGAGCUGACGAAUACUAAUCGAUCGAAGACUUAAUCAA